This 75-nucleotide ribosomal RNA is filed under the name uncultured bacterium. Its description in RNAcentral is "partial 16S ribosomal RNA". The record is from RNAcentral.
AACGCCGCGUGGGGAGUGAAGGCCUUCGGUUGUAAACCCUUUCAGUGGGAACGAAACUGACGGUACCACAGAAGA